CGAGCGCGCUGACGGUUGAAGCGCUUCUGCCGACCGGACGCGCGGACCGUCAGGCUGUGCCGCCGCGCAUGCCUCAAAGCUCGGCCUCGCUGCAGAAGCGGGAAGGAAGGUGGCGGUUGCCAGGCCAGUGGGGUGAAGAAACCACUGAUGGCCGUGAUUAUCUCUGGGGCAGGGAAGCAAGCACAGAUGAAGUUCAACUGGACUUGAUUGUUGCAAGUUUUUACAAAGAAAUACUGAUUCCACAAAUACGUAGCCACUGCUAAUUGUAUAUUCCACCCACUCUGCUUGGAUUCAAAGGGACGACUUCGGGUGAACCUGGUAGCACCUUAGCACGCAUCCAAGCCAAGGUACCAAAGCACGCGAGUGCCCACGUGCCCAUCACCACGGACUCGCAGCAGAAACACACUCAUUUCACUUAAUGUCCUUGAUGAAGCAAAAAACAAAAUCCCAAGCUUAUUGGGGCGCCUGGGUGGCUCAGUCAGUUGAGCGCCUGACUUUGGCUCAGGUCGUGAUCUCGCGGUUCGCGGGUUCGAGCCCUGCGUUGGGCUCUGCGCUGACAGCUCAGAGCCCUGGAACCUGCUUCAGAUUCCAUGUCACCCCUUUCUCUAUGCCCCUCCCCCACUCAUGCUCUGCCUCUCAAAAGUGAAUAAAGAUUAAAAAAAAAAUUUAAAAAAAAUCAAGCUUAUUAAAUCCUUACACUUUAACAC
Molecule: long non-coding RNA, 707 nt
Organism: Neofelis nebulosa (Clouded leopard)
Lineage: Eukaryota; Metazoa; Chordata; Mammalia; Carnivora; Felidae
Exons: 3
Source: RefSeq, a predicted model, not a curated record